GUAUACAUUUCAUUGUCUUUUUUCUUUUUAUCAAAAGAAAAGAUAUUUCUGAUGUACUAAACAAACCUUUGGAGGUAAAUUAGUAGUAUGACUAAUUUAGUCAUUGCUGUCAGGCAAGUAAAAA
Molecule: small nucleolar RNA, 124 nt
Filed under: Tupaia belangeri (northern tree shrew)
Lineage: Eukaryota; Metazoa; Chordata; Mammalia; Scandentia; Tupaiidae
Source: RNAcentral